Molecule: ribosomal RNA, 440 nt
Filed under: uncultured bacterium
Lineage: Bacteria
Description: partial 16S ribosomal RNA
Rfam family: Bacterial small subunit ribosomal RNA
Source: RNAcentral
CCUACGGGUGGCAGCAGUGGGGAAUAUUGCACAAUGGGGGAAACCCUGAUGCAGCGACGCCGCGUGAGUGAAGAAGUAUUUCGGUAUGUAAAGCUCUAUCAGCAGGGAAGAAAAUGACGGUACCUGAGUAAGAAGCCCCGGCUAACUACGUGCCAGCAGCCGCGGUAAUACGUAGGGGGCAAGCGUUAUCCGGAUUUACUGGGUGUAAAGGGAGCGUAGACGGCGGUGAAAGUCUGGAGUGAAAGGCGGGGGCUCAACCCCCGGACUGCUUUGGAAACUGUAUGGCUGGAGUGCAGGAGAGGUAAGUGGAAUUCCUAGGGUAGCGGUGAAAUGCGUAGAUAUUAGGAGGAACACCAGUGGCGAAGGCGGCUUACUGGACUGUAACUGACGUUGAGGCUCGAAAGCGUGGGGAGCAAACAGGAUUAGAUACCCGAGUAGUC